Molecule: ribosomal RNA, 447 nt
Filed under: uncultured bacterium
Lineage: Bacteria
Description: partial 16S ribosomal RNA
Rfam family: Bacterial small subunit ribosomal RNA
Source: RNAcentral
AGCGAACGCUGGCGGCAGGCUUAACACAUGCAAGUCGAACGCCCCGCAAGGGGAGUGGCAGACGGGUGAGUAACACGUGGGAACGUACCCUUUGGUUCGGAAUAACUUGGGGAAACUCAAGCUAAUACCGGAUAAGCCCUUAUGGGGAAAGGUUUACUGCCGAAGGGUCGGCCCGCGUCUGAUUAGCUAGUUGGUGAGGUAAUGGCUCGCCAAGGCGACGAUCAGUAGCUGGUCUGAGAGGAUGAUCAGCCACACUGGGACUGAGACACGGCCCAGACUCCUACGGGAGGCAGCAGUGGGGAAUAUUGGACAAUGGGGGCAACCCUGAUCCAGCCAUGCCGCGUGAGUGAUGAAGGCCUUAGGGUUGUAAAGCUCUUUUACCCGGGACGAUAAUGACUGUACCGGGAGAAUAAGCCCCGGCUAACUUCGUGCCAGCCGCCGCUGUAA